RNAcentral lists this ribosomal RNA (1499 nucleotides) under uncultured beta proteobacterium. RNAcentral describes it as "bacterial SSU rRNA". It matches the Rfam family "Bacterial small subunit ribosomal RNA". The record is from RNAcentral. Lineage: Bacteria; Pseudomonadati; Pseudomonadota; Betaproteobacteria.
UGAGUUUGAUCCUGGCUCAGAUUGAACGCUGGCGGCAUGCCUUACACAUGCAAGUCGAACGGCAGCACGGGUGCUUGCACCUGGUGGCGAGUGGCGAACGGGUGAGUAAUACAUCGGAACAUGUCCUGUAGUGGGGGAUAGCCCGGCGAAAGCCGGAUUAAUACCGCAUACGAUCUACGGAUGAAAGCGGGGGACCUUCGGGCCUCGCGCUAUAGGGUUGGCCGAUGGCUGAUUAGCUAGUUGGUGGGGUAAAGGCCUACCAAGGCGACGAUCAGUAGCUGGUCUGAGAGGACGACCAGCCACACUGGGACUGAGAUACGGCCCAGACUCCUACGGGAGGCAGCAGUGGGGAAUUUUGGACAAUGGGCGAAAGCCUGAUCCAGCAAUGCCGCGUGUGUGAAGAAGGCCUUCGGGUUGUAAAGCACUUUUGUCCGGAAAGAAAUCCUUGGCUCUAAUACAGUCGGGGGAUGACGGUACCGGAAGAAUAAGCACCGGCUAACUACGUGCCAGCAGCCGCGGUAAUACGUAGGGUGCGAGCGUUAAUCGGAAUUACUGGGCGUAAAGCGUGCGCAGGCGGUUUGCUAAGACCGAUGUGAAAUCCCCGGGCUCAACCUGGGAACUGCAUUGGUGACUGGCAGGCUAGAGUAUGGCAGAGGGGGGUAGAAUUCCACGUGUAGCAGUGAAAUGCGUAGAGAUGUGGAGGAAUACCGAUGGCGAAGGCAGCCCCCUGGGCCAAUACUGACGCUCAUGCACGAAAGCGUGGGGAGCAAACAGGAUUAGAUACCCUGGUAGUCCACGCCCUAAACGAUGUCAACUAGUUGUUGGGGAUUCAUUUCCUUAGUAACGUAGCUAACGCGUAAAGUUGACCGCCUGGGGAGUACGGUCGCAAGAUUAAAACUCAAAGGAAUUGACGGGGACCCGCACAAGCGGUGGAUGAUGUGGAUUAAUUCGAUGCAACGCGAAAAACCUUACCUACCCUUGACAUGGUCGGAAUCCUGCUGAGAGGCGGGAGUGCUCGAAAGAGAACCGGCGCACAGGUGCUGCAUGGCUGUCGUCAGCUCGUGUCGUGAGAUGUUGGGUUAAGUCCCGCAACGAGCGCAACCCUUGUCCUUAGUUGCUACGCAAGAGCACUCUAAGGAGACUGCCGGUGACAAACCGGAGGAAGGUGGGGAUGACGUCAAGUCCUCAUGGCCCUUAUGGGUAGGGCUUCACACGUCAUACAAUGGUCGGAACAGAGGGUUGCCAACCCGCGAGGGGGAGCUAAUCCCAGAAAACCGAUCGUAGUCCGGAUUGCACUCUGCAACUCGAGUGCAUGAAGCUGGAAUCGCUAGUAAUCGCGGAUCAGCAUGCCGCGGUGAAUACGUUCCCGGGUCUUGUACACACCGCCCGUCACACCAUGGGAGUGGGUUUUACCAGAAGUUGCUAGUCUAACCGCAAGGAGGACGGUCACCUCGGUAGGAUUCAUGACUGGGGUGAAGUCGUAACAAGGUUUUUUAGGG